This 261-nucleotide non-coding RNA is filed under the name [Clostridium] leptum. RNAcentral describes it as "Clostridium leptum T-box sequence". It matches the Rfam family "T-box leader". From Rfam's summary of the family: Uncharged tRNA acts as the effector for transcription antitermination of genes in the T-box leader family. T-boxes are found upstream of many aminoacyl-tRNA synthetase genes and some amino acid biosynthetic genes usually in Gram-positive bacteria. Lineage: Bacteria; Bacillati; Bacillota; Clostridia; Eubacteriales; Oscillospiraceae. The record is from RNAcentral.
AUAAAUACGAUGAAGAGGAAGAGUAGGAGCUUUUUAACAUGCAGAGAGCCGCUGGGUGGUGAGAAGCGGUUGGGCGAAAGCUUUGAACUGGCCUUGAAGUAGCACGCUGAAAGAAUUGUCAAGUAGGCGGAGCCGGAGCCCGACCGUUACAGCGGGAGGAUAUAAGCCGGAGUAUCGGUCGUAUCUGCAAUGAGGGCACGCCGUAAGGCGUGAAAUUAGAGUGGUACCGCGUGAGACUUUUGAAAGUCUUUCGUCUCUAUU